UCCACUAAAUGAGUGAAAUAAGUUUGUAAUAUAAAUUUACAAACCAAUGUGUGAUAAUUUGUUGUUCUGCUCUGUUUGUAUGGAACUACACAAAUGGAAAAAUUUUGAAGAUCUGCAAAUGGUUCAAGAGUGAUGUACUCUUGAUCCAAAGUAUCUGUCCCUUCACUGGACACCAGUUUCUCUGAAUUAUUCAUGGACGGCCUGGCUGUAGGGAGAAAGUGAAUAGAUGUGGACAGCUGAAAAAAUGGAAAUUAAGUGAAGAGAGACGACAUGUCACCUCCUGCUGUCUCUGCUCAGACUGACAGGCGGCGGCUAACGACCUGGCAGCGUUUUCACUCCCUCUACUUUGGAAUCCGAGUGCUCACACACCGGAGUGUGUUGACGUGUGUCGGGACGGUGGAGGGACGGUUUCCGUCCUGCUGAGCCCCAGGUCCUUCCUGCUAGACUAGUAAUUAGGACAGGACAUGUUGACCAGGAUCACCUUCAGCUGGGACCGCUGACAGAACAAGGACAGACGAAAUUAUACACCUGGAUGCUUCAUGGGUUUUUCUCUCUCUGUUGGUUGACGACCUAAGACCUAAAGUUGUUGUUUGACCCAUUUAAAGGACUAAAUUAAUGUCACCUUGUGCCACAGCUGACCAUCGUGGAGAGUUUUCUGCACCAUCUCAGCUUUUUGUGGUUGAGAUAAAGCGCUGCUUUUAGAGAGCGCCAGAAAUAGACCAGCAAACGGUUCACAAUGUAAAGACCAGGGUCAGUGCUGCUGUCUGCUGCACAUUUCAAAUGGAUUAUAGGAAAGAUAUUUUUAGACAAAAACUGACUUUUUUAUUUUCAAAUAAUUAGCAACUUGUAACUGAAGUGGAUACAUGUAACCAUUCACUUCUAGUCUAAAUAAAGUGGAGCUGCAGUCCAUCCACAACAGAACCCAGUACCAACUAGUUACAUUUAGGAGUUUCAGGAUCUCUCUUCAUCUCUAUUUUUGCAGAUUUUUACUUUUUUAACUGAUUUAUCAGAUUCUGGAGACACAAACAUUCAUUCAUAAACCAACAUAAAGUGAAGUUCAAAGAAAAUAUCGCAGCUUUUCAAAAUGUGAAAAAGAAAUGGUAGAUAU
Gambusia affinis (western mosquitofish) is the source of this 1108-nucleotide long non-coding RNA. RefSeq lists it as uncharacterized. The record is from RefSeq and is a predicted model, not a curated record. Lineage: Eukaryota; Metazoa; Chordata; Actinopteri; Cyprinodontiformes; Poeciliidae. The transcript is spliced from 3 exons.